Molecule: long non-coding RNA, 414 nt
Filed under: Malus domestica (apple)
Lineage: Eukaryota; Viridiplantae; Streptophyta; Magnoliopsida; Rosales; Rosaceae
Description: long non-coding RNA (MDOM_LNC004269)
Source: RNAcentral
UUGAGGGAGUGGCUGGUUUUGGGGAGGGAUAAGGUUGGUGUGUGUGUUGAUUUGUGAGUUUUGUCAAAAUUAAUCAAGUGGUGUAAGAUAAGAAAUUCUUAUCACCAUUAUUUCUAUCACCUUUCAUAAAAGAUAAUAUAUGUUUUGAUGAUAGAUUUUUCUAUUGCCAUUUAACCAAAUAUUUAACACUUUAAAUACAUGAUAAAUCAUUUGAAAAACAUAUCACAUAAACUUUAUGAAAUAAAUCAAAACUUUGAAUCAAAACACCAAACCUUUUUGUUCUUGGCAAGAACAUCAAGAACAAUGAAGAACAUCCAUGAAAAACCCAAAUUUUUCCAUGAACCUUUUUCACCCAAAAACAUUCCAAAACCAUUCUUACUUAAGGGAAAUAACAUCUAACCAAACUAGGGUACU